GCCAGUGUGGUGUAAUGGUUUGAGUGUUGGACCUUGAUUCUGAAGACCAUGGUUCAAUUCCCAGCUCAGCUA
Molecule: non-coding RNA, 72 nt
Organism: Phrynosoma platyrhinos (Desert horned lizard)
Lineage: Eukaryota; Metazoa; Chordata; Lepidosauria; Squamata; Phrynosomatidae
Source: the annotation of a GenBank genome assembly